RNAcentral lists this unclassified non-coding RNA (268 nucleotides) under plant metagenome. RNAcentral describes it as "partial contains small subunit ribosomal RNA and internal transcribed spacer 1". The stretch from base 1 to 53 matches the Rfam family "Eukaryotic small subunit ribosomal RNA", at positions 1778 to 1831 of the family's 1831-position model. The record is from RNAcentral.
GGAAGUAAAAGUCGAACAAGGCUUCCGUAGGUGAACCUGCGGAAGGAUCAUUAACGUGUCUUUGACUGAAAAGUCAAAACAACCAAAAUAAUCGACCGUGAACUAAACCCCUUUAUGUGUACUGGGUUGCGUGUGUGUCAUGUCUCAUGUAUGCACACACAGCCCUCUCACCCACCACAAUCACCCGAAAACAUAUAACCAUUCUCACUAAAUGUCAUUGAAAAAACAUGAAAGUUGACGACUUUCAACGGUGGAUCUCUAGGCUCGU